CCUUAGGUCUCAAUACUCGACUGUACAAGUGGAUACCCCAGAAUGACCUUCUAGAUAUAAAGAGAAUAUUAUGAAAUUAUCAAGAAUUCAACAUGAUCAACCAGUGAAGCCCCUGGAUCGAGCAGUCUUCUGGAUUGAAUUUGUCAUGCGCCACAAAGGAGCCAAACAUCUUCGAGUUGCAGCCCACAACCUCACCUGGUUCCAG
This 205-nucleotide long non-coding RNA is filed under the name Homo sapiens (human). RNAcentral describes it as "HSALNT0073289". Lineage: Eukaryota; Metazoa; Chordata; Mammalia; Primates; Hominidae. The record is from RNAcentral.